Molecule: ribosomal RNA, 428 nt
Filed under: uncultured archaeon
Lineage: Archaea
Description: bacterial SSU rRNA
Rfam family: Archaeal small subunit ribosomal RNA
Source: RNAcentral
UACCAGCUCUCCGAGUGGUGUGGAUGUUUAUUGGGCCUAAAGCAUCCGUAGCUGGCUGGGCAAGUCCCCUGUUAAAUCCACCGAUUUAAUCGUUGGAGUGCGGGGGAUACUGUUCGGCUAGGGGACGGGAGAGGCAGACGGUAUUUUCGGGGUAGGGGUGAAAUCCUAUAAUCCCGGGAAGACCACCAGUGGCGAAGGCUGUCUGCUAGAACGCGCCCGACGGUGAGGGAUGAAAGCUGGGGGAGCGAACCGGAUUAGAUACCCGGGUAGUCCCAGCUGUAAACGAUGCAGGCUAGGUGUUUGGGCGGCCACGUGCCGCUCUAGUGCCGCAGGGAAGCCGUUAAGCCUGCCGCCUGGGGAGUACGGCCGCAAGGCUGAAACUUAAGGAAUUGGCGGGGGAGCACCACAAGGGGUGAAGCUUGCGGUUU